Molecule: ribosomal RNA, 618 nt
Filed under: uncultured bacterium
Lineage: Bacteria
Description: bacterial SSU rRNA
Rfam family: Bacterial small subunit ribosomal RNA
Source: RNAcentral
CCUACGGGAGGCAGCAGUGGGGAAUUUUGGACAAUGGGCGCAAGCCUGAUCCAGCCAUGCCGCGUGUGGGAAGAAGGCCUUCGGGUUGUAAACCACUUUUGUCAGGGAAGAAACGGCUUUUUCUAAUACAGAGAGCUAAUGACGGUACCUGAAGAAUAAGCACCGGCUAACUACGUGCCAGCAGCCGCGGUAAUACGUAGGGUGCAAGCGUUAAUCGGAAUUACUGGGCGUAAAGCGUGCGCAGGCGGCUUUGCAAGACAGAUGUGAAAUCCCCGGGCUCAACCUGGGAACUGCAUUUGUGACUGCAUGGCUAGAGUACGGUAGAGGGGGAUGGAAUUCCGCGUGUAGCAGUGAAAUGCGUAGAUAUGCGGAGGAACACCGAUGGCGAAGGCAAUCCCCUGGACCUGUACUGACGCUCAUGCACGAAAGCGUGGGGAGCAAACAGGAUUAGAUACCCUGGUAGUCCACGCCCUAAACGAUGUCAACUGGUUGUUGGACGGCUUGCUGUUCAGUAACGAAGCUAACGCGUGAAGUUGACCGCCUGGGGAGUCGGCCGCAGGUUGAAACUCAAAGGAAUUGACGGCUGGAGAGNGCGACGGACGACGACGAGGGAGGAGG